GCAAGAGAGGGGUUCAACCUCCUGAGUAGAUUUACAGCCCACCGCCUAAGCGCUCGGCCAUCUUACCUG
This 69-nucleotide transfer RNA is filed under the name Enyalioides laticeps. Its description in RNAcentral is "tRNA-Tyr". The record is from RNAcentral. Lineage: Eukaryota; Metazoa; Chordata; Lepidosauria; Squamata; Hoplocercidae.